GACGAACGCUGGCGGCGUGCCUAAUACAUGCAAGUCGAGCGGACGAAUCGAAAGCUUGCUUUUGAUUCGUUAGCGGCGGACGGGUGAGUAACACGUGGGCAACCUGCCCUGUAGACGGGGAUAACACCGAGAAAUCGGUGCUAAUACCGGAUAACACGAAAUGUCGCAUGACGUUUCGUUGAAAGACGGCGCAAGCUGUCGCUACAGGAUGGGCCCGCGGCGCAUUAGCUAGUUGGUGAGGUAACGGCUCACCAAGGCGACGAUGCGUAGCCGACCUGAGAGGGUGAUCGGCCACACUGGGACUGAGACACGGCCCAGACGCCUACGGGAGGCAGCAGUAAGGAAUCUUCCGCAAUGGACGAAAGUCUGACGGAGCAACGCCGCGUGAGCGAAGAAGGCCUUCGGGUCGUAAAGCUCUGUUGUUAGGGAAGAACAAGUAACGCAGUAACUGGCGUUACCGUGACGGUACCUAACGAGAAAGCCACGGCUAACUACGU
RNAcentral lists this ribosomal RNA (497 nucleotides) under uncultured bacterium. Its description in RNAcentral is "partial 16S ribosomal RNA". It matches the Rfam family "Bacterial small subunit ribosomal RNA", at positions 28 to 506 of the family's 1533-position model. The record is from RNAcentral.